This 397-nucleotide ribosomal RNA is filed under the name uncultured bacterium. Its description in RNAcentral is "partial 16S ribosomal RNA". It matches the Rfam family "Bacterial small subunit ribosomal RNA", at positions 338 to 732 of the family's 1533-position model. The record is from RNAcentral.
CCUACGGGAGACAGCAGUGAGGAAUAUUGGGCAAUGGGCUUACGCCUGAACCAGCCAAGUCGCGUGAGGGAAGACUGCCCUAUGGGUUGUAAACCUCUUUUGUCAGGGAGCAACGCCGGCUACGUGUAGCCGGACUGGGAGUACCUGAAGAAAAAGCAUCGGCUAACUUCGUGCCCGCCGCCGCGGUAAUAUGGGGGAUGCGGGCGUUAUACGGUGUUAUUGGGUUAAAAGGGUGCGUGGGCGGAAUGCCAAGUCAGCGGGAAAAUCGCGGGGCUCAACCUCGGUCCGCCUUUGAAACUGGCGUUCUUGAGUAGGCGAGAGGUAUGCGGAAUGCGUAGUGUAGCGGUGAAAUGCAUAGAUAUCACGAAGAACACCGAUUGCGAAGGCAGCAUACCGG